GAGGAUAUAGCUCAGAGGUAGAACGUGUGCUUAAUAGGCACGAGGUCCUGGGUUCAAUCCCCAGCACCUGCA
This 72-nucleotide transfer RNA is filed under the name Camelus bactrianus (Bactrian camel). It matches the Rfam family "tRNA". Rfam says of the family: Transfer RNA (tRNA) molecules are approximately 80 nucleotides in length. Their secondary structure includes four short double-helical elements and three loops (D, anti-codon, and T loops). The record is from Rfam by way of RNAcentral. RNAcentral also lists the same sequence under 2 other names. Lineage: Eukaryota; Metazoa; Chordata; Mammalia; Artiodactyla; Camelidae.